UACGAGGGGGGCGAGCGUUGUUCGGAAUUAUUGGGCGUAAAGGGCUCGUAGGCGGUUUGUCGCGUCGGGAGUGAAAACACCGGGCUUAACUCGGUGCUUGCUUUCGAUACGGGCAGACUAGAGGUAUGCAGGGGAGAACGGAAUUCCUGGUGUAGCGGUGAAAUGCGCAGAUAUCAGGAGGAACACCGGUGGCGAAGGCGGUUCUCUGGGCAUUACCUGACGCUGAGGAGCGAAAGCGUGGGGAGCGAACAGG
This 253-nucleotide ribosomal RNA is filed under the name uncultured bacterium. Its description in RNAcentral is "partial 16S ribosomal RNA". It matches the Rfam family "Bacterial small subunit ribosomal RNA", at positions 524 to 776 of the family's 1533-position model. The record is from RNAcentral.